Caenorhabditis elegans is the source of this 147-nucleotide non-coding RNA. The record is from Ensembl. NCBI's taxonomy places the organism in Eukaryota, Metazoa, Nematoda, Chromadorea, Rhabditida, Rhabditidae.
UUUGAGCUCAAGCCUCUCUAAGCUCAAAUUACAACUUUUGAGAAUCGUCACUUGCUCACCUUGUUUCCCUUCCAUUUUCUCCCCCAAAUCCUCCCACUCUAUUAUGAACCUCUCAGGGGGCAAGGGGUGCCCUCUUCCAUCUGACUC